This 469-nucleotide ribosomal RNA is filed under the name uncultured bacterium. RNAcentral's name for it is "bacterial SSU rRNA". It matches the Rfam family "Bacterial small subunit ribosomal RNA", at positions 355 to 825 of the family's 1533-position model. The record is from RNAcentral.
UCGAGAAUCUUCCGCAAUGGACGAAAGUCUGACGGAGCGACGCCGCGUGCGGGAUGAAGGCCCUUGGGUUGUAAACCGCUGUCAGAGGGGAUGAAAUCUUCGGAGGUACUCCUCCGAAGUUGACAGAGCCUCAAAGGAAGCACGGGCUAAGUACGUGCCAGCAGCCGCGGUAACACGUACUGUGCGAACGUUAUUCGGAAUCACUGGGCUUAAAGGGUGCGUAGGCGGCGAUUCAAGUCAGGUGUGAAAUGCCUGAGCUCAACUGAGGCAUUGCGCUUGAAACUGAAUUGCUAGAGUAUCCCAGGGGUGUGCGGAACUGCCAGUGGAACGGUGAAAUGUGUUGAUAUUGGCAGGAACACCGGAGGCGAAAGCGGCACACUGGGGGAUAACUGACGCUGAGGCACGAAAGCCAAGGGAGCGAACGGGAUUAGAUACCCAGGUAGUCCCUGAGCGGGCUGGCAAGGCGCAU